UAAAAUUACUAUUAAAAAAUAAUUUUAUUAAAUUCUAAUAGCAAAAAUUAGACGCUAUGCAGAUUUAAAAUCAUUAUAAAUCUACAUUAUCAGAUCUCGAAAGUUAUAGUAAAAAAGAUACGAGGAAAUGACAAACAAGAGUUUUCAUAAAUGUUUAUAAGGUAUGUUGUUAAAAUUUGAAGUUUUUUGAUAUUUUUAAUAUUUAUGCAGAUUAACUUUUAUCGGAAAGUAUACUACCAGAAAGUUCAAACUACUUUACAAAUGUGUUGAUGUUCCCAGUCUUUAACAUUUAUAAGCCUACUUUGGAUCAUAUAAACUUCCAAGUUCAAUCUCUGUUGCAUGGAAUACCUGGAUUAUGAUUCAACAACUUCUGGCACAAAUCUUCCCAGUCAGCACUCAAAUCCUUACUAUCUGUAUUUGAUCGUUUCCAGCAAAUGGGGCUUUUCCUGUCACAAGCUGAAAUAAAAUGGCACCAACACUCCAGAGAUCUGACUUAUCUGAGAGUAUAAUGCAAAGAAAGAAGGGAAAAGAAGUAGAUAUAGACCUGGG
RNAcentral lists this unclassified non-coding RNA (549 nucleotides) under Hevea brasiliensis (rubber tree). Lineage: Eukaryota; Viridiplantae; Streptophyta; Magnoliopsida; Malpighiales; Euphorbiaceae. The record is from RNAcentral.